ACUCGCCUCUCAAAGGGUAAACGUUGUUUUUCUUCAACCUGGACCCUGUUUCCCUUUGUUCUUGUGUCUAGGUGACUAAUGGGGACAACAAUCUUCAUUGGUCCAGCAUUAAGUAAGACCGCUCCAGUCGGCAGCAGCCAAACAGGCUAUGAAUGUAAGUUAGUGGGACAAUUGUCGAGGCUGUAUUUACUUUCACAAAAGUGCUUGUUUUGCUGCUGACAGGCUCAGAUUA
Long non-coding RNA from Etheostoma cragini (Arkansas darter), 232 nucleotides. RefSeq lists it as uncharacterized. NCBI's taxonomy places the organism in Eukaryota, Metazoa, Chordata, Actinopteri, Perciformes, Percidae. The transcript has 3 exons. The record is from RefSeq and is a predicted model, not a curated record.